UACGUAGGGGGCGAGCGUUGUCCGGAUUUAUUGGGCGUAAAGAGCGUGUAGGCGGCCAGGUAGGUCUGCUGUGAAAACUCGAGGCUCAACCUCGAGACGUCGGCGGAAACCAUCUGGCUAGAGUCCGGAAGAGGAGAGUGGAAUUCCUGGUGUAGCGGUGAAAUGCGCAGAUAUCAGGAAGAACACCCGUGGCGAAGGCGGCUCUCUGGGACGGUACUGACGCUGAGACGCGAAAGCUAGGGGAGCAAACGGG
RNAcentral lists this ribosomal RNA (253 nucleotides) under uncultured bacterium. Its description in RNAcentral is "partial 16S ribosomal RNA". It matches the Rfam family "Bacterial small subunit ribosomal RNA", at positions 524 to 776 of the family's 1533-position model. The record is from RNAcentral.